GCGGGUGUAGCUCAGCUGGUUAGAGCGCCAGAUUGUGAUUCUGGAAGCCGUGGGUUCAAGUCCCAUCACUCGCCCCA
Molecule: transfer RNA, 77 nt
Filed under: Rhodospirillaceae bacterium
Lineage: Bacteria; Pseudomonadati; Pseudomonadota; Alphaproteobacteria; Rhodospirillales; Rhodospirillaceae
Also listed under: 4 other names
Description: tRNA-His
Rfam family: tRNA
About the family: Transfer RNA (tRNA) molecules are approximately 80 nucleotides in length. Their secondary structure includes four short double-helical elements and three loops (D, anti-codon, and T loops).
Source: RNAcentral